Molecule: transfer RNA, 72 nt
Filed under: Bos taurus (domestic cattle)
Lineage: Eukaryota; Metazoa; Chordata; Mammalia; Artiodactyla; Bovidae
Also listed under: 4 other names
Rfam family: tRNA
About the family: Transfer RNA (tRNA) molecules are approximately 80 nucleotides in length. Their secondary structure includes four short double-helical elements and three loops (D, anti-codon, and T loops). Further hydrogen bonds mediate the characteristic L-shaped molecular structure. tRNAs have two regions of fundamental functional importance: the anti-codon, which is responsible for specific mRNA codon recognition, and the 3' end, to which the tRNAs corresponding amino acid is attached (by aminoacyl-tRNA synthetases). tRNAs cope with the degeneracy of the genetic code in two manners: having more than one tRNA (with a specific anti-codon) for a particular amino acid; and 'wobble' base-pairing, i.e. permitting non-standard base-pairing at the 3rd anti-codon position.
Source: Rfam by way of RNAcentral
UCCCUGCUGGCUCAGAGGUUAAAGCAUCUGCCUGCAAUGCGGGAGACCUGGGUUCAAUCCCUGUGUUGGGAA